AUGUGCGUCCCUCCCGAAGCUGCACGCUCGGUCGAAGAGGACGACCUUCCCCGAAUAGAGGAGGACCGGUCUUCGGUCAAGGGUAUACGAGUAGCUGCGCUCCCCUGCUAGAACCUCCAAACAAGCUCUCAAAUUGUAUGCCAGCCUGUACAGUAACAAAAACAGCAUGGUACUGGAACACAAAACAGAUAUGCAGCUUGGCAUGGUGACACAUGCCUUUAAUC
This 224-nucleotide small RNA is filed under the name Jaculus jaculus (lesser Egyptian jerboa). RNAcentral's name for it is "7SK RNA (ENSJJAG00000004551.1)". It matches the Rfam family "7SK RNA", at positions 109 to 331 of the family's 331-position model. From Rfam's summary of the family: 7SK was discovered as an abundant small nuclear RNA in the mid-70s but a possible function has only recently been suggested. Two independent studies have found that 7SK RNA binds the CDK9/cyclin T complex (known as elongation factor P-TEFb). Lineage: Eukaryota; Metazoa; Chordata; Mammalia; Rodentia; Dipodidae. The record is from RNAcentral.